This 401-nucleotide long non-coding RNA is filed under the name Mytilus galloprovincialis (Mediterranean mussel). The record is from RNAcentral. Lineage: Eukaryota; Metazoa; Mollusca; Bivalvia; Mytilida; Mytilidae.
GUUCCAAUAGGCGUAGAAUGCAUUGAAAAGCUCUCAAACACACAUAAAACCGUUAAAAAAUGACAAAAACAACAAAUUCGAUAAUUUGGACAUGACCUUGACUUUUGACCUUGUAACCUUUGUGAAGGUCAUUGGUCCACAAUGUCAUUGUAAAAGACCCCAUGGGUCUAGGACUUUUCGUUCAAGAGUUAAAGCUAAUUUUACCUUUUCAGAAACCGUUAACGGCGGUUAUGCCCCUUAAGAAUAUGUCAAAUCCUUUCGGUCAAAAUGUAAAAAAGUUGUGCCUCAGUCACCUUAACAUUUUUCACUGUUUACUAUUUCUGUAAGAUUAACCGUUUUUGAGAUAUCGACUAAAAAGUUGAAAGGUCAAAGGUCAAGGUCAACCUUAAAAACUUUAAAAC